This 252-nucleotide ribosomal RNA is filed under the name uncultured bacterium. RNAcentral's name for it is "partial 16S ribosomal RNA". It matches the Rfam family "Bacterial small subunit ribosomal RNA", at positions 524 to 776 of the family's 1533-position model. The record is from RNAcentral.
UACGAAGGGGGCUAGCGUUACUCGGAAUUACUGGGCGUAAAGGGCGCGUAGGCGGUGUGUCAAGUCAGGCGUGAAAGCCCCGGGCUCAACCUGGGAACCGCGCUUGAGACUGGCACGCUCGAGUUCGGGAGAGGAUGGUGGAAUCCCAGUGUAGAGGUGAAAUUCGUAGAUAUUGGGAAGAACACCGAUGGCGAAGGCAGCCAUCUGGACCGACACUGACGCUGAGGCGCGAAAGCGUGGGGAGCAAACAGG